CCUACGGGAGGCAGCAGUAGGGAAUAUUGCUCAAUGGGGGAAACCCUGAAGCAGCAACGCCGCGUGGAGGAUGAAGGUUUUCGGAUUGUAAACUCCUUUUGUUAGAGAAGAUAAUGACGGUAUCUAACGAAUAAGCACCGGCUAACCCCGAGACAGCAGCCGCGGUAAUACGGCGGGUGCAAGCGUUACUCGGAAUCACUGGGCGUAAAGAGCGCGUAGGCGGGUUAGCAAGUCAGAUGUGAAAUCCUAGGGCUUAACCAUAGAACUGCAUUUGAAACUGUUAUUCUAGAGUUUGGGAGAGGUAGGUGGAAUUCUUGGUGUAGGGGUAAAAUCCGUAGAGAUCAAGAGGAAUACUCAUUGCGAAGGCGACCUGCUAGAACAUAACUGACGCUGAUGCGCGAAAGCGUGGGGAGCAAACAGGAUUAGAUACCCGUGUAGUC
Molecule: ribosomal RNA, 440 nt
Filed under: uncultured bacterium
Lineage: Bacteria
Description: partial 16S ribosomal RNA
Rfam family: Bacterial small subunit ribosomal RNA
Source: RNAcentral